Molecule: ribosomal RNA, 506 nt
Filed under: uncultured bacterium
Lineage: Bacteria
Description: partial 16S ribosomal RNA
Rfam family: Bacterial small subunit ribosomal RNA
Source: RNAcentral
AGUGAACGCUGGCGGUAGGCCUAACACAUGCAAGUCGAACGGCAGCACAGGAGAGCUUGCUCUCUGGGUGGCGAGUGGCGGACGGGUGAGGAAUACAUCGGAAUCUACUUUUUCGUGGGGGAUAACGUAGGGAAACUUACGCUAAUACCGCAUACGACCUACGGGUGAAAGCAGGGGACCUUCGGGCCUUGCGCGAUUGAAUGAGCCGAUGUCGGAUUAGCUAGUUGGCGGGGUAAAGGCCCACCAAGGCGACGAUCCGUAGCUGGUCUGAGAGGAUGAUCAGCCACACUGGAACUGGGACACGGUCCAGACUCCUACGGGAGGCAGCAGUGGGGAAUAUUGGACAAUGGGCGCAAGCCUGAUUCAGCCAUACCGCGUGGGUGAAGAAGGCCUUCGGGUUGUAAAGCCCUUUUGUUGGGAAAGAAAUCCAGCUGGCUAAUACCCGGUUGGGAUGACGGUACCCAAAGAAUAAACACCGGCUAACUUCGUGCCAGCCGCCGCAGUAA